CAGAGGGUAGUUUAUAUUAAAAUAUUAAUUUUGGGGAUUAAUGAAAGGGUUUCCUUUCCUCUGA
RNAcentral lists this transfer RNA (64 nucleotides) under Zichya baranovi. Its description in RNAcentral is "tRNA-Pro". The record is from RNAcentral. RNAcentral also lists the same sequence under 1 other name. Lineage: Eukaryota; Metazoa; Arthropoda; Insecta; Orthoptera; Tettigoniidae.